GGAGAGGUGGCAGAGCGGUCGAAUGCGGCGGUCUCGAAAACCGUUACGGGUCGUUAGGCUCGUCGAGGGUUCAAAUCCCUCCCUCUCCG
This 89-nucleotide transfer RNA is filed under the name Thermoleophilia bacterium. It matches the Rfam family "tRNA". Rfam says of the family: Transfer RNA (tRNA) molecules are approximately 80 nucleotides in length. Their secondary structure includes four short double-helical elements and three loops (D, anti-codon, and T loops). Further hydrogen bonds mediate the characteristic L-shaped molecular structure. tRNAs have two regions of fundamental functional importance: the anti-codon, which is responsible for specific mRNA codon recognition, and the 3' end, to which the tRNAs corresponding amino acid is attached (by aminoacyl-tRNA synthetases). tRNAs cope with the degeneracy of the genetic code in two manners: having more than one tRNA (with a specific anti-codon) for a particular amino acid; and 'wobble' base-pairing, i.e. permitting non-standard base-pairing at the 3rd anti-codon position. Lineage: Bacteria; Bacillati; Actinomycetota; Thermoleophilia. RNAcentral also lists the same sequence under 4 other names. The record is from Rfam by way of RNAcentral.